This 497-nucleotide ribosomal RNA is filed under the name uncultured bacterium. Its description in RNAcentral is "partial 16S ribosomal RNA". It matches the Rfam family "Bacterial small subunit ribosomal RNA", at positions 28 to 507 of the family's 1533-position model. The record is from RNAcentral.
GAUGAACGCUGGCGGCGUGCCUAAUACAUGCAAGUCGAACGAACGGACCAGAAGCUUUCUUCCCUGAUGUUAGCGGCCGACGGGUGCGUAACACGUGUAUAACCUACCUCUAAGACUUGGAUACCUUCGGGAAACCAUAGCUAAUACCGGAUAAUAUUUUGAACCACGUUGUUCCCACGUAAAAUACGCUCUUUGUGUCGCUAAUAGCUGGAUCCGCGCUGUAUUAUCUAGUUGGUAAAGUAACGGCUUACCCACACAACGAGGCAUAGCCGCCCUGCGAGGGUGAUCGCCUAAGCUGGAACGGAGACACGGUCCAGACUCCUAGGGGAGGCAGCAGUAGGGAAUCUUCCCGAAUGGGCGAAAGCCUGACGGAGCAACGCCGCGUGAGUGAUGAAGGCCUUCGGAUCGUGAAACUCUGUUAUUAGGGAAGAACAUAUGUCUAAGUAACUGUGCACAUCAUGACGGUACCUAAGCAGAAAGCCACGGCUAACUACGGG